RNAcentral lists this unclassified non-coding RNA (189 nucleotides) under uncultured fungus. RNAcentral's name for it is "sequence contains ITS1, 5.8S rRNA gene". Lineage: Eukaryota; Fungi. The record is from RNAcentral.
CCGAGUUAGGGUCCCCUGGGCCCGACCUCCCACCCUUUGUCUACCUUACCUCUUGUUGCUUCGGCGGAUCCGUCCCUCAGGGGACCGCCGGAGGGCCGUCAAAACGCUCUCUGGCCCGCAUCCGUCGAUGGCCUAUUACAAAACUCUUGCUUAAACAUGUCGUCUGAGUCUUAAACAAAAUAAAAUAAA